UGACAGAUUGCAUGCUGGGAAAAGCCUCAAGUCUGCAUAGAAAGCGCAUUUAAUCCUUUUUUAACUGGGUGAGGUUGCCUCUUGGGACCCCCAGUUGAUAGAUGAGAAGCACCUGACUUUGAAAAGGAACCGAACUCAAGCAGGCUGCAUCCUAAGCCCGUCUCAAGCAGACUGCAGAAGCCUUUUCCCCUUAACCUUAAAAUAGACUCCACAUCCCUCCCUCUCCGACUGUAAACCCUUUCCACAUUAUCUAACUGUGUGCUUACUUAGAAGUUACAGGGGUUAACCUUGAGACAGAUCAAACCUGGAGACCCAGCUGCAAAAUUUCAAAUAUCACCUUAAAGCCGUUCGUCCACAACCUGGUCAUUGUUGUGGUUAUGCCAGUCCACGCUCCAGGAGGACUGUGACCCGAGAUAGCCACUGAAAAAAGAGACACAGAUGUCACACCCCCAUCACUCGCUUACCAUUACAAUGUGAAAUGCCUCCCAUAUCAAGCUUUCCUUCUUAAACCCCUGCCCUCAGCCAACCUUCAAAGCAGUUUCUCUAGGUGUAAACCUGGCCACUUCCCCCUGUGGCUAUGGAAAUAAAGUGGCUUUCCAUUCACUGCACUUGCUGAGUUUGCACACGGUAAGCAGCCCAGCCUGCACUGGGUCACAACUUCUCAAUUGCCUCCUUCUGCGAGAGAGAGUGAGGUGCUCGGCCUCCACAAAAGGCCUCAGAGUAAACAGCAUCAAAUCUCCCCCUUGGGCAGCCUUCCCCUAUUCUCAACCUCUUCAGCACCCUGCCUGCACGGAUCACAAUGGUUCUCACUACAGAUGGAGCAUCCCACUCACUGAGGAAGUACCUGCUCAGGAGGGUGUGAUGACUGGGGACAUGAAACCGGAAGCCAAGGAACACCCACCACACCCCUCCCCAUGCUCCGUGCAGGAUGUCCUGUGUUCACGCCAGGGCAGGCACAAGGAAAGUCAGCACGGCCCCAUGUUCCCAGCAGCUCAGUCUCACCUGUGAGUGGCAGGAGUGCGAGGUGUGAGUUGGAUGAGGGCUUUGGACCCCAGCGCUAAGGUGGGCUACGUGGAGCUCCCAGGAUGCUGGGGUCACAGGCCCCAGUGAGCCUGCUGAAAUUGUAGCAGAGACUGUAAUAUUUUAUCUAGACUACAAGACAUAAAUUUGCUGUGUGUUCUUGCACUACCAACUUUAAUAAUAAUGUCUUUGCAUGCCAUCUAUUCUCUCAUGGGCAAUAACACAGAUACAAACGGUCCUGAGUGCUCAGCGCUGCUGGGUUUUGGGGUCUGCUUUAGGGGAAACAUUUCCAAAACCUGCCAUCCGGUGCGUUUGCUCUUCUGAAAAACGUCCCCAGAACCAGCGGCCGCCUGGCCUCUGGGGCGCCCCGCAGGUCGUGUGAAUACACAUGUGGAGUGACUGAAACGGAUGCUUAUGGCUACUUUCCCACCCUGGAGGAGACUCUGCCAUCUGGGUUUGGGCUAAAGUCGAGGUAGUGUGUGAAUCUGAUUUCCCCCUUUAUGUAAUGAGCUGUUUUCCUGAUCUGUGGACCUGUUAUGUCAUGGCUUUGAUGAACAAGAAUAAAAAAGAUUUGCCAAGUUGUUUCUCAUUAAACCUAAACCAACUCUUCAGCCGCGCCGCCUCGGGGACCGUAAGCCCCGCUCUGGUGGACGCCUGGAGUCGCCGCCUCCCGAGAGUCCACACCCCAUCUUGUCUCCAGCCUGCGCUGGGAAGAAGCUGAGGUCUGGAGGUCUUCCUCUGAAGGAGCACAGUCCAGGGAGCCACAGAAGGCUGCCUUGAGGAGUGGAACUGCUUCAGGGAUCAAUGCAAAGUGUCCCCUGUCAGGAGAAAAACCACUCAGAGGAGGUAAAGGCCCAUGAGCCAUUCCUGAGCUGCUAGAACAAAUUUCCUAAGAUGGUUGAAUAGCAGGAAACAGAGACAAAAACAAAAAACAGAAAACACCAGAGGCAGGUUACACAAGAAAGCUCUCCUUAAGCAGGGAACACAGAAAAUAAACAUAAUUAGCACUACAUUCCUGGAGACAUAUCGUGAUUACACAGACAUCAAACUCAACUGGGCUUCUUGUGUGGGAUGCGC
RNAcentral lists this long non-coding RNA (2097 nucleotides) under Homo sapiens (human). Its description in RNAcentral is "HSALNT0131828". The record is from RNAcentral. Lineage: Eukaryota; Metazoa; Chordata; Mammalia; Primates; Hominidae.